AUACUCAGUUCAGUAGCACAUGUACUAAAAUUGGAAUGAGACAAAGAUUAGCAUGGAUUCUGUCCAAGAAUGACACACAAAGUCAGGAAAUGUUCCAUGUUUUU
Molecule: small nuclear RNA, 104 nt
Organism: Capra hircus (goat)
Lineage: Eukaryota; Metazoa; Chordata; Mammalia; Artiodactyla; Bovidae
Source: Ensembl